Molecule: ribosomal RNA, 468 nt
Filed under: uncultured bacterium
Lineage: Bacteria
Description: partial 16S ribosomal RNA
Rfam family: Bacterial small subunit ribosomal RNA
Source: RNAcentral
GACGAACGCUGGCGGCGUGCUUAACACAUGCAAGUCGAACGGAAAGGCCCUGCUUUUGUGGGGUGCUCGAGUGGCGAACGGGUGAGUAACACGUGAGUAACCUGCCCUUGACUUUGGGAUAACUUCAGGAAACUGGGGCUAAUACCGGAUAGGAGCUCCUGCUGCAUGGUGGGGGUUGGAAAGUUUCGGCGGUUGGGGAUGGACUCGCGGCUUAUCAGCUUGUUGGUGGGGUAGUGGCUUACCAAGGCUUUGACGGGUAGCCGGCCUGAGAGGGUGACCGGCCCAAAUGGGACUGAGAUACGGGCCAGACUCCUACGGGAGGCAACAGGGGGGAAUAUUGCAAAAUGGGCGGAAGCCUGAUUCAGGAACGCCGCGGGCGGGAUGACGGCCUUCGGGUUGGAAACCGCUUUCGCCUGGGACCAAGCGGGAGUGACGGUAAUGGGUAAAGAAGGAACGGCUAACUACGUG